This 253-nucleotide ribosomal RNA is filed under the name uncultured bacterium. Its description in RNAcentral is "partial 16S ribosomal RNA". It matches the Rfam family "Bacterial small subunit ribosomal RNA", at positions 524 to 776 of the family's 1533-position model. The record is from RNAcentral.
UACGAACUGUGCGAACGUUACUCGGAAUCACUGGGCUUACAGGGUGCGUAGGCGGCUUGUUAAGUAGGGUGUGAAAGCCCCCGGCUCAACCGGGGAAUGGCGCCCGAAACUGGCGAGCUGGAGUGAGAUAGGGGUGUGCGGAACUUCCGGUGGAGCGGUGAAAUGUGUUGAUAUCGGAAGGAACGCCGGUGGCGAAAGCGGCACACUGGAUCUCAACUGACGCUGAGGCACGAAAGCGUGGGGAGCAAACAGG